UUUCAUAUUCGUUUCCUUUUAGUGCUGCUUGUUGCUGACGUUUCUGCCCAAACAUCAUGAAAUGUGGAGAAGAAAGAACACUCAGAUGUGCCCUGGAGACUUUCCUUUUAUUUUUAAACAGUUUUUUUUUUUUUUUCCAUUGGGUUUGACCAACUCUAUAUUCGACUUGAACAAAUCUCAAGGAAAGCUUCCAAUUAUGGGGAACAAGUCCUCUGAAGUGGCUAAAUUCCCACACACACAAAAGAAAAGGUAGGGUGGUGGGGGAAGAAAAACAGCCAGCAAAAGGAAAAAAA
This 293-nucleotide long non-coding RNA is filed under the name Pan troglodytes (chimpanzee). Its description in RNAcentral is "lincRNA". Lineage: Eukaryota; Metazoa; Chordata; Mammalia; Primates; Hominidae. The record is from RNAcentral.